This 1166-nucleotide ribosomal RNA is filed under the name Pseudoduganella buxea. RNAcentral describes it as "partial 23S ribosomal RNA". It matches the Rfam family "Bacterial large subunit ribosomal RNA", at positions 1 to 1209 of the family's 2925-position model. Lineage: Bacteria; Pseudomonadati; Pseudomonadota; Betaproteobacteria; Burkholderiales; Oxalobacteraceae. The record is from RNAcentral.
GUUAUAGGGACAAGUGAAUAAGUGCACAUGGUGGAUGCCUUGGCGAUUACAGGCGAUGAAGGACGUAGUAGUCUGCGAUAAGCUACGGGGAGCUGACAAACGAGCUUUGAUCCGUAGAUUUCCGAAUGGGGAAACCCACCCUUUUAGGGUAUCACUCACUGAAUACAUAGGUGUGUGAGGCGAACGCGGCGAACUGAAACAUCUAAGUAGCUGCAGGAAAAUAAAUCAACCGAGAUUCCCAAAGUAGUGGCGAGCGAAAUGGGAUGAGCCUGUACGUGAUAGUCGGACUGAUAGUGGAAGCCUCUGGAAAUAGGCGCCAUAGUGGGUGAUAGCCCCGUACACGAAAUCAGACCGGUGGUACUAAGCGUACGACAAGUAGGGCGGGACACGAGAAAUCCUGUCUGAAUAUGGGGGGACCAUCCUCCAAGGCUAAAUACUCGUAAUCGACCGAUAGUGAACCAGUACCGUGAGGGAAAGGCGAAAAGAACCCCGGGAGGGGAGUGAAAUAGAUCCUGAAACCGUGUGCAUACAAACAGUCGGAGCGGACUUGUUCCGUGACGGCGUACCUUUUGUAUAAUGGGUCAGCGACUUACAUUCAGUAGCGAGGUUAACCAUAUAGGGGAGCCGCAGAGAAAUCGAGUCCGAACAGGGCGCUAGUUGCUGGGUGUAGACCCGAAACCAAGUGAUCUACCCAUGGCCAGGUUGAAGGUGCGGUAACACGCACUGGAGGACCGAACCCACUAAUGUUGAAAAAUUAGGGGAUGAGCUGUGGGUAGGGGUGAAAGGCUAAACAAACUUGGAAAUAGCUGGUUCUCUCCGAAAACUAUUUAGGUAGUGCCUCAAGUAUCACCAUCGGGGGUAGAGCACUGUUAUGGCUAGGGGGUCAUCGCGACUUACCAAACCAUUGCAAACUCCGAAUACCGAUGAGUGCGAGCUUGGGAGACAGACGUCGGGUGCUAACGUCCGGCGUCAAGAGGGAAACAACCCAGACCGCCAGCUAAGGUCCCAAAGAUUGGCUAAGUGGAAAACGAAGUGGGAAGGCUAAAACAGUCAGGAUGUUGGCUUAGAAGCAGCCAUCAUUUAAAGAAAGCGUAAUAGCUCACUGAUCGAGUCGUCCUGCGCGGAAGAUGUAACGGGGCUAAGCCAGUCACCGAAGCUGCGGAUAU